CAAUAGCGUAUAUUAAAGUUGUUGCGGUUAAAAAGCUCGUAGUUGGAUUUCUGUCGAAAACGGCCGGUCCGCACUAUGUGCGUGUAUCUGGUUCGGUUUUGGCAUCCUCAUGAAGAACGUAACUGCGCUUGAUUGCGUGGUGCGGUAUUCAUGACUUUUACUUUGAAAAAAUCAGAGUGUUUCAAGCAGGCAGCUCGCUCUUGCAUGGAUUAGCAUGGGAUAAUGAAAUAGGACUUUGGUGCUAUUUUGUUGGUUUCGAACACCGAAGUAAUGAUUAAAAGGGACAGUCAGGGGCACUCGUAUUCCGCCGAGAGAGGUGAAAUUCUCAGACCAGCGGAAGACGAACCACUGCGAAAGCAUUUGCCAGGGAUGUUUUCACUGAUCAAGAACGAAAGUUAGGGGAUCGAAGACGAUCAGAUACCAU
This 424-nucleotide ribosomal RNA is filed under the name uncultured eukaryote. RNAcentral describes it as "bacterial SSU rRNA". It matches the Rfam family "Eukaryotic small subunit ribosomal RNA", at positions 592 to 1018 of the family's 1831-position model. The record is from RNAcentral.